AUGAUGUCUUAUUUGUCAGGUGUCAUGGGGUCAUGGAUGCUGGUUUGGAUUCUGUGUGCCACAGUCACUCUGAUGCCUGUGUGUCUUCACGGAGCAAUAUCAGUCCGUUUUAAAACCGGACGGCCUCUGUAUGUUGCGCUCGGACAAACUCUUGUUCUGGAAGCCGUGUUUGAGAAGGAUCCAGACGACAAGAUAGACAUAGUGACGUGGGACCGCGAGAGAGGAAGAGAGCAUGUCAGGCUGUCACACGGAAACAGAAUAUCUUUGGAGAACGGAGAUGCACUUCUGCGGGUCACUGAUGUUGCAGAAGGGGACUUUGCGAUCUACAAGGUCACUCUUACAGACAGGAACGGAUACCAGCAGCACGACUCAAUAGAAGUGCGAAAGACAGUGGAAUCUCCAAAGGCGUCAAUAACACGUGUGCUGGAGUGCGUUGUGGAUAAUCACGGCAUGACACAGUGGGACAGCCCUCAGUUUUCUUGGCUGGUUGAUGGUGUUACAGUAACCAAUCAAAGCGCUCUGUUAGCAGAUGGCAGUAGACUAGACAUCUCUGAGAUUAAGGGCGUUAACUACACCUGCAUCAUCAAGAGCAGCCUGGGGACGGUGACUACACAUCAUCAAAUACCAGAAGGUAUUGUUUAAUUCCAAGAACUCAUGGCAUUUUUUAACUUUGAGAGGUAAUUGUCCCAUGUAAAUGUUUUUUUUUUUCACCCUAAAAUGUUCAUCACACCAUGCCAAAAACACCAAGAGAAACAAGGAAACACUUUACAAAAAUGUUCCAUUAGGUAACAACAUUAACCAAAAUUAACUAACCAUGAGCAGUUCAUUUGUUACGGCGUUUAUUAAUGUUUGUUGGGGAAAUUUACUUUUAAAAGUCAUGCGUUACAAUAUUGCGUUACACUCUGAAAAACUAAUUAUGUUACAUUUGUGGAAAUUAAAUACUUUUGUGGAACUAUAAUGCAUUAUUGUAUGUUACAUUUUUGUUACUUUGUCUCAUUUGUGCUGGACUUGCUUGUUUGUUUUUAAUUAAUUGUAUCAUUUUUGGGGGCAAAUGUAAAACCACUUUCAUACCAAGAGAGAAAUGCAUGAGCCUCAUGCUGAAGGAAAUAUAAAUUCACAUCUGUAGAGGGCACAGAUCAAACAAACCUCCGAUAUUUUCAGAGUAAUGCAUUAAAAAGUAAUGCAUUACUUUACUAGUUACUUGAAAAAGUAAUCUGAUUACGUACUUGUAAUGCAUUACUAAUAAUACAACUGUUCAUUUUUUUAGUAUAUUUUUUCUUUCGGGCCAUUACUGUAAAUAAUCGUUUUAACGCUCACGUUGUGUUCUGGUCAUUUUGACCUGGAGAGGACCGUGUGAUGUUAUUGAUCAGGACUAUAAUCUAUAUAUAUAUAUAAAAUCUAUAGUCUACUAUACUACUAUAAUCUAAUCUAUAAUCUACUAUAAUAAAAACUAUUCACACAUGGUAUAAUAACUUUCU
Long non-coding RNA from Cyprinus carpio (common carp), 1478 nucleotides. The record is from Ensembl. Lineage: Eukaryota; Metazoa; Chordata; Actinopteri; Cypriniformes; Cyprinidae.